RNAcentral lists this ribosomal RNA (467 nucleotides) under uncultured bacterium. Its description in RNAcentral is "partial 16S ribosomal RNA". It matches the Rfam family "Bacterial small subunit ribosomal RNA", at positions 28 to 523 of the family's 1533-position model. The record is from RNAcentral.
GAUGAAUGCUGGCGGCGUGCCUAACACAUGCAAGUCGAGCGGUAACAGGAGUAGUUUACUACUUGCUGACGAGCGGCGGACGGCUGAGUAACGCGUGGGAACGUGCCCCAAAGUGAGGGAUAAGCCCCAGAAAUGGAGUCUAAUACCGCAUAUGAUCUUCGGAUUAAAGGAUUUAUCCGCUUUGGGAGCGGCCCGCGUUAGAUUAGGUAGUUGGUAGGGUAAUGGCCUACCAAGCCGACGAUCGAUAGCUGGUCUGAGAGGAUGAUCAGCCAGACUGGGACUGAGACACGGCCCAGACUCCUACGGGAGGCAGCAGUGAGGAAUCUUCCACAAUGGGCGAAAGCCUGAUGGAGCAACGCCGCGUGAAGGAUGAAGGCCCUCGGGUUGUAAACUUCUUUUAUAAGUGAAGAAUAUGACGGUAACUUAUGAAUAAGCACCGGCUAACUACGUGCCAGCCGCCGCCGUAA